UGAGCGACUCUCUCUUCGUCAUCUGUGCCC
This 30-nucleotide non-coding RNA is filed under the name Mus musculus (house mouse). The record is from RNAcentral. Lineage: Eukaryota; Metazoa; Chordata; Mammalia; Rodentia; Muridae.